CCUACGGGAGGCAGCAGUGGGGAAUAUUGGGCAAUGGAGGCAACUCUGACCCAGCAACGCCGCGUGAGUGAUGAAGGUCUUCGGAUUGUAAAACUCUUUAAGUGGGGACGAAGAAAGUGACUGUACCCACAGAAUAAGCCUCGGCUAACUACGUGCCAGCAGCCGCGGUAAUACGUAGGGGGCAAGCGUUAUCCGGAUUUACUGGGUGUAAAGGGAGCGUAGACGGCGCUGCAAGUCCGGAGUGAAAGCCCAUGGCUUAACCAUGGUACUGCUCUGGAAACUGUAGAGCUUGAGUGCGGGAGGGGCAGGCGGAAUUCCUAGUGUAGCGGUGAAAUGCGUAGAUAUUAGGAGGAACACCGGCGGCGAAGGCGGCCUGCUGGACCGUAACUGACGUUGAGGCUCGAAAGCGUGGGGAGCAAACAGGAUUAGAUACCCUGGUAGUC
Molecule: ribosomal RNA, 443 nt
Filed under: uncultured bacterium
Lineage: Bacteria
Description: partial 16S ribosomal RNA
Rfam family: Bacterial small subunit ribosomal RNA
Source: RNAcentral